GAUGAACGCUGGCGGCGUGCCUAAUACAUGCAAGUCGAGCGAACAGACGAGGAGCUUGCUCCUCUGACGUUAGCGGCGGACGGGUGAGUAACACGUGGAUAACCUACCUAUAAGACUGGGAUAACUUCGGGAAACCGGAGCUAAUACCGGAUAAUAUAUUGAACCGCAUGGUUCAAUAGUGAAAGACGGUUUUGCUGUCACUUAUAGAUGGAUCCGCGCCGCAUUAGCUAGUUGGUAAGGUAACGGCUUACCAAGGCAACGAUGCGUAGGCGAACUGAGAGGGUGAUAGGCCACACUGGAACUGGACCACGGUCCAUGCUACUACGGGAGGCAGCAGUAGGGAAUCUUCUGCAAUGGGCGAAAGCCUGACGGAGCAACGCCGAGUGAGUGAUGAAGGUCUUCGGAUCGUAAAGCUCUGUUAUUAGGGAAGAACAAAUGUGUAAGUAACUAUGCACGUCUUGACGGUACCUAAUCAGAAAGCCACGGCUAACUACGUG
Molecule: ribosomal RNA, 497 nt
Filed under: uncultured bacterium
Lineage: Bacteria
Description: partial 16S ribosomal RNA
Rfam family: Bacterial small subunit ribosomal RNA
Source: RNAcentral